GGUUGCGAUCAUACCAGCACUAAUGCACCGGAUCCCUUCAGAACUCCGCAGUUAAGCGUGCUUGGGCGAGAGUAGUACUAGGAUGGGUGACCCCCUGGGAAGUCCUCGUGUUGCAACCC
RNAcentral lists this ribosomal RNA (119 nucleotides) under Helianthus annuus (common sunflower). The record is from RNAcentral. Lineage: Eukaryota; Viridiplantae; Streptophyta; Magnoliopsida; Asterales; Asteraceae.